This 353-nucleotide ribosomal RNA is filed under the name uncultured bacterium. RNAcentral's name for it is "partial 16S ribosomal RNA". It matches the Rfam family "Bacterial small subunit ribosomal RNA", at positions 338 to 706 of the family's 1533-position model. The record is from RNAcentral.
CCUACGGGUGGCAGCAGUGGGGAAUAUUGGGCAAUGGGCGCAAGCCUGACCCAGCAACGCCGCGUGCAGGAAGAAGGCUUUCGGGUUGUAAACUUCUUUUUAGGGGGAAGUGCAGUAGACGGUACCUCUUGAAUAAGCCAUGGCUAACUACGUGCCAGCAGCUGCGGUCAUACGUAGGUGGCAAGCGUUGUCAGGGUUUCGUGGGUGUACCGGGCUUGUUGCCGGUCGGAUAAGUCUGAUGUGAAAUUCGGGGGAUCAAGCAUGGAACGGCGGUGGAAACUGUAGGUCUUGCGUGUAGGUGAGGGGUGCGGAAUUCGUGGUGUAGCGGUGAAAUGCUUAGAGAUAAGGAAGAA